RNAcentral lists this ribosomal RNA (204 nucleotides) under uncultured bacterium. Its description in RNAcentral is "partial 16S ribosomal RNA". It matches the Rfam family "Bacterial small subunit ribosomal RNA", at positions 1296 to 1500 of the family's 1533-position model. The record is from RNAcentral.
GAUUGCAGGCUGCAACCCGCCUGCAUGAAGUCGGAAUUGCUAGUAAUCGCGGAUCAGCAUGCCGCGGUGAAUACGUUCCCGGGCCUUGUACGCACCGCCCGUCACACCAUGGGAGCCGGUAAUACCCGAAGUCAGUAGUCCAACCUCGUGAGGACGCUGCCGAAGGUAGGAUUGGCGACUGGGGUGAAGUCGUAACAAGGUAUC